RNAcentral lists this ribosomal RNA (423 nucleotides) under uncultured bacterium. Its description in RNAcentral is "bacterial SSU rRNA". It matches the Rfam family "Bacterial small subunit ribosomal RNA", at positions 362 to 777 of the family's 1533-position model. The record is from RNAcentral.
UAUUGGACAAUGGGCGAAAGCCUGAUCCAGCCAUGCCGCGUGUGUGAAGAAGGCCUUCGGGUCGUAAAGCACUUUAAGGUGGGAGGAAGGGCUCAUAGCGAAUACCUGUGAGUUUUGACGUUACCAACAGAAUAAGCACCGGCUAACUUCGUGCCAGCAGCCGCGGUAAUACGAAGGGUGCAAGCGUUAAUCGGAAUUACUGGGCGUAAAGCGCGCGUAGGUGGCUUGAUAAGUUGGAUGUGAAAUCCCCGGGCUCAACCUGGGAACUGCAUCCAAAACUGUCUGGCUAGAGUGCGGUAGAGGGUAGUGGAAUUUCCAGUGUAGCGGUGAAAUGCGUAGAUAUUGGAAGGAACACCGGUGGCGAAGGCGACUACCUGGACUGACACUGACACUGAGGUGCGAAAGCGUGGGGAGCAAACAGGA